CAAUCAACAUCAGAAUGACCACUCAAACACCAAUUAUUUUUCUGAAAGCAUAAGGAGUAAUAUGCAGUUUCUUUGAGAUAUCUCAAAAUCUUUUUGACUGCUUUCAAUGCAACUUUUAGGGACUAGCUUGAUAGUAGCUCAUCAAUCCAUGGCAUAACAAAUAUUGGGCCAUGUACACAUAAUGGCAUACAUCAGAUAGCCAAUAGCGAAGGAGUAAGGAACAUUUCUUUCCUCUCUUUUGGAAUUUUAGGA
This 252-nucleotide long non-coding RNA is filed under the name Elaeis guineensis (African oil palm). RNAcentral describes it as "long non-coding RNA (EGUI_LNC041432)". Lineage: Eukaryota; Viridiplantae; Streptophyta; Magnoliopsida; Arecales; Arecaceae. The record is from RNAcentral.